GCCUCUGGGGAUGUUAAAAAAAAUUAACUUUCGUUCUUCCGAGUUGUACAUGCGGAAAAUACAUGGAGACCUGAACUGAAGAGGC
Molecule: small nucleolar RNA, 85 nt
Organism: Lotus japonicus
Lineage: Eukaryota; Viridiplantae; Streptophyta; Magnoliopsida; Fabales; Fabaceae
Product: small nucleolar RNA Z159/U59
Exons: 1
Source: RefSeq, a predicted model, not a curated record